Molecule: unclassified non-coding RNA, 483 nt
Filed under: Artemisia albicerata
Lineage: Eukaryota; Viridiplantae; Streptophyta; Magnoliopsida; Asterales; Asteraceae
Description: partial external transcribed spacer
Rfam family: Eukaryotic small subunit ribosomal RNA (bases 430-483)
Source: RNAcentral
UCCGUAAAGGUGGAUGAGUGGUGUUUGGUUUGUUACGUGUGGUUGGCUGCGGCGUUUGCAACAACUUCCAUGCUCUCAGACCUCUUCAGUUGUGCGGCAAGGCUUGUAUCGCCUUGAGCGUAUCGUGGGUUUUCUGUGUUGGCUACCUAAUCGACGGUAUCGUUUGGAUUGAUCAAAGUGUGAUUUCGUCUUCCGUCGCGUUUGCGGCGUGAGGUGAACCUUGACGCGGUCUCUUUGAUCCAUCUCGUCGAAGCAUAUGCUUUGACGUUGUGGCACAUUGGGCAUUGCUUGGUCUCUUGUGUACGGAACACGUAGCGGGCAUGGAUCUAACGAUUCUUGUUUGCCCUCAUAUUAGCGUAACGCUUCUCAAACACGACUUGCAUCGCGUUUUAGCUCGUACGGACGUGGUGCUAUGUCGCAGAGGAAUGCUACCUGGUUGAUCCUGCCAGUAGUCAUAUGCUUGUCUCAAAGAUUAAGCCAUGC